This 388-nucleotide ribosomal RNA is filed under the name uncultured bacterium. RNAcentral describes it as "bacterial SSU rRNA". It matches the Rfam family "Bacterial small subunit ribosomal RNA", at positions 28 to 417 of the family's 1533-position model. The record is from RNAcentral.
GACGAACGCUGGCGGCGUGCUUAACACAUGCAAGUCGAGCGGUAAGGCCCUUUCGGGGGUACACGAGCGGCGAACGGGUGAGUAACACGUGGGUGACCUGCCCUCAGCUCUGGGAUAAGCCUGGGAAACCGGGUCUAAUACCGGAUAUGACUCCAUGACGCAUGUUGUGGGGUGGAAAGCCUUGUGCGGCUGAGGAUGGGCCCGCGGCCUAUCAGCUUGUUGGUGGGGUGAUGGCCUACCAAGGCGACGACGGGUAGCCGGCCUGGGAGGGCGACCGGCCACACUGGGACUGAGACACGGCCCAGACUCCUACGGGAGGCAGCAGUGGGGAAUCUUGCGCAAUGGGCGAAAGCCUGACGCAGCGACGCCGCGUGAGGGAUGACGGCCU